GUUUCCUUCUGUUCAAGCCAAGGUUUUUCAACUGAUCUACUGAUUACCACAGACUUCGGUCUGCUUACACCAUGUGGAUUCCUACCUCCCAAGUCCCAGCCUCAAUCAUCAGCAAGAACCAAUCAAAGCCAAUGUACUACAGGAAAGGGUCCUGUAUGAGAGCCAGGCCAGGCCAGGCCAGCCCAUCUGCCUGGUCAUCUUCUCCCAUUUUCUUUCCUCCAAGCUGUAAGCCACACCGGUUUCUGACCAUUCUAUAUUCUGGGUUCUUAGCAAGUGACUAAUUUUUUUCUGAGAGAGGGUUGUGUUAAGUAGCCCAGGUUUUCUUCAAGCUUGGAAUCCUGCCUUCACUUCCUGAGUGCUGGGACCCACUUAUAAGGUUUACUCAAGGUCUCCAUAGUCUCCCACAUGCUCCCACACCUUGCCCAAGCAUCCCCUGCUACACUCUGGAUCCAGCUAAUGCCUCAUUUUGGAAAUGCCAGUUGAUACAUUUCCUGUAGGAAGGGAGCCCUGAGGUGCCCGGCUCUGGGCCAUCCUUUACCCAUCUUGAUUGUUGGGAUGAAUCAUCUGUGUGUCUGUCUAUCUACCUACAAGAUUGUGAGGCUGGAUCUUGUCACAUAGAAGGGCUUCAACAAAUGAUGGGGUAAUGGGUCAGAGCUUUUCCCACUGUGAACUGGUAAGGCUCAUCACUGUCUGCCAUGUCCUUGAACUCCUGCCUUUGGGGGAGGCUUUGCAAGGCAUGCUGGGAUGAGUCCAAGAUGUCCAUAAUGAGAAGACAGCAGUGGAGGAUUCACUGAUCACACAGCCUCUUUCCUUUGGCCCCUGUGCCCAGGCCAACUGCACCUUUGCUCUGUAGUGCUAGCUGGUCUGGGACGUACUACAUAGACCGUGGCCUGGAACUCAUGGGCAAACUUUCUGCCUAUGCCUCCCAGGUACUAGGAUAGCAGGCAUGGGUCAGCAGGCCUGGCUUCUUCCUUCAUUAACCUAGAGAGCUAUGAAGGAUGCAUGCUUCGUUUGCACAAGGCUGAGUCUGGUCUUACACACAAAGACAAAUGUAAUCCUUUUCAAUAUUUAUUGAUUUGGGUAAGUGAGUCCCAUGUCCCACAUGUAGGAGCCAGAAGACAACUUGUAGGAAUUCGCUCCUUCCUUCUACCAUGUUAUGUCGUAGAGUAGAAGCAAGCUCAGGUUCGUGUGGCAAGUGCCAUUACCAUCUGAAUCACCUCACACCCUCAAAUGUUUGAUUUGAGUGUGCUCUUUGGAAGGGGUGACAGACACAUUCAGAGGCAUGCGGACGCGGAUGGCUCACACCUUUAUUCCCAGUACCUACGGUCAGAGGCACACAGAUCUCUGAGAGCAGCCUGGUCUACACAGUGAGUUCCAGGCCAGCCAGGGCUACAUAGUGAGACCCUGUCUCAAAGGAAAAACCAUACAGAAAGUUGUAUGUUGGAGGCCAAAUCUUUCCGAUGCUUGCCCUUCCCCGAUCCACAGCAACCUCAUUCUUUAGCGGUCACCAUAGUUACCAUUUUCUUGUGAAGUCUUCUGGAAAUAAUACAUGAACAAUUAAACAUGUGUAAGGUCUUCCCCUCAUUCAAACAGCAGCAUUCCCAUGGGCGGCUAUGCACUCUGCAUCUUGGUUUAAGCGAAAGAGAGAUUAUGAAGACAACUCUGUGUGUGUGUAUCUCAGAAGCCUCAUUUUUCAUGGCUGUAUACUAUUUUGAUGUGGGAAAUUAUGUCAUGGCUGAUUUAACCAGCCUCUCAUGCAUGCGCAUUUCAUUUGAUUUCUUUUUAGCAGUUGUAGGUGAGUCAGAUGGUGGUGGUGCAUGGCUUUAAUACCAGGACUCUGGAGGCAGAGACAGGUGGAUCUGAGUUCGAGGUCAGCCUGGUCUAAAAGCAGGGUGAGUUCCAGAACAACCAGGACUAUACUGAGAUACCCUAUCCCAAAAAAAGUUGUAGGUACGAAUCUUGAACUAUUAUUGUGUAUAUUGCUGGGUGUAUCGCUAGGAUAAGGUUAGAGAGCUGGCGUUUCAAAGACCGUGUGUAUUUGUGAUCCAGUGUCAGACCAGUUGCAAGAGAAGUGCCAUUAACUUAUUUAAUUAGUAUGUUAAGAGUGCUGAGACUUGAAUGGGCAACCAUUUCAUAGGUGACUGGUAUUGUGUUAUUUAAUGUGACUUUAUGUUAUUCUUUUAAAAAAGUUUUAAAAUACAAACAUGUAAAAUU
RNAcentral lists this long non-coding RNA (2214 nucleotides) under Mus pahari (shrew mouse). RNAcentral describes it as "predicted gene 44854 (MGP_PahariEiJ_G0004171.1)". The record is from RNAcentral. Lineage: Eukaryota; Metazoa; Chordata; Mammalia; Rodentia; Muridae.